GACGAACGCUGGCGGCGUGCUUAACACAUGCAAGUCGAGCGAGGCCCCUCCUUCGGGAGGGUGUCCUAGCGGCGAACAGGUGAGUAACACGUGGGCAACCUGCCCUCAGCUCUGGGAUAACUCCGGGAAACCGGGGCUAAUACCGGAUACGACCUCCACGGGCAUCUGCGGAGGUGGAAAGUUUUUCGGCUGAGGAUGGGCCCGCGGCCUAUCAGCUAGUUGGUGGGGUAGUGGCCCACCAAGGCGACGACGGGUAGCCGGCCUGAGAGGGCGACCGGCCACACUGGGACUGAGACACGGCCCAGACUCCUACGGGAGGCAGCAGUGGGGAAUAUUGCGCAAUGGGCGAAAGCCUGAUGCAGCGACGCCGCGUGAGGGACGAAGGCCUUCGGGUUGUAAACCUCUUUCAGCAGGGACGAAGCGAAAGUGACGGUACCUGCAGAAGAAGCACCGGCCAACUACGUG
This 465-nucleotide ribosomal RNA is filed under the name uncultured bacterium. Its description in RNAcentral is "partial 16S ribosomal RNA". It matches the Rfam family "Bacterial small subunit ribosomal RNA", at positions 28 to 507 of the family's 1533-position model. The record is from RNAcentral.